This 935-nucleotide ribosomal RNA is filed under the name Micrococcus sp. BN4. Its description in RNAcentral is "bacterial SSU rRNA". It matches the Rfam family "Bacterial small subunit ribosomal RNA", at positions 540 to 1533 of the family's 1533-position model. The record is from RNAcentral. Lineage: Bacteria; Bacillati; Actinomycetota; Actinomycetes; Micrococcales; Micrococcaceae.
AGUGAUCGGAUAUUGGGCGUAAGCGCGCGUAGGCGGUUUCUUAAGUCUGAUGUGAAAGCCCACGGCUCAACCGGGGAGGGUCAUUGGAAACUGGGAAACUUGAGUGCAGAAGAGGAAAGUGGAAUUCCAUGUGUAGCGGUGAAAUGCGCAGAGAUAUGGAGGAACACCAGUGGCGAAGGCGACUUUCUGGUCUGUAACUGACGCUGAUGUGCGAAAGCGUGGGGAUCAAACAGGAUUAGAUACCCUGGUAGUCCACGCCGUAAACGAUGAGUGCUAAGUGUUAGGGGGUUUCCGCCCCUUAUUGCUGCAGCUAACGCAUUAAGCACUCCGCCUGGGGAGUACGACCGCAAGGUUGAAACUCAAAGGAAUUGACGGGGACCCGCACAAGCGGGGGAGCAUGUGGUUUAAUUCGAAGCAACGCGAAAAACCUUACCAAAUCUUGACAUCCUUUGAAAACUCUAAAGAUAGAGCCUUCCCCUUCGGGGGACAAAGUGACAGGUGGUGCAUGGUUGUCGUCAGCUCGUGUCGUGAGAUGUUGGGUUAAGUCCCGCAACGAGCGCAACCCUUAAGCUUAGUUGCCAUCAUUAAGUUGGGCACUCUAGGUUGACUGCCGGUGACAAACCGGAGGAAGGUGGGGAUGACGUCAAAUCAUCAUGCCCCUUAUGAUUUGGGCUACACACGUGCUACAAUGGACAAUACAAAAGACAGCUACACCGCGAGGUCAUGCAAAUCCCAUAAAGGUGUUCUCAGUUCGGAUUGUAGUCUGCAACUCGACUACAUGAAGCUGGAAUCGCUAGUAAUCCGUAGAUCAACAUGCUACGGUGAAUACGUUUCCCGGGCUCUUGUACACACCGCCCGGUCACACCACGGAGAGGUUGUGACACACCGAGUACGGUUGCAGUACCCUAUCUGUAUGGGAAGCCUAUGUACCGAUC